CCGAUGUAGCAUAGUGGUUAUUGCACCUGCCUUGUAAGCAGGGGGUCGCGAGUUCGAAUCUCGCCAUCGGCU
Molecule: transfer RNA, 72 nt
Filed under: Mesoflavibacter zeaxanthinifaciens
Lineage: Bacteria; Pseudomonadati; Bacteroidota; Flavobacteriia; Flavobacteriales; Flavobacteriaceae
Also listed under: 1 other name
Rfam family: tRNA
About the family: Transfer RNA (tRNA) molecules are approximately 80 nucleotides in length. Their secondary structure includes four short double-helical elements and three loops (D, anti-codon, and T loops).
Source: RNAcentral